GAUGAACGCUGGCGGCGUGCCUAAUACAUGCAAGUCGAGCGAACAGACGAUGAGCUUGCUCCUCUGACGUUAGCGGCGGACGGGUGAGUAACACGUGGAUCACCUACUUAUAAGUCUGGGAUAAUUUCGGGAAACCGGAGCUAAUACCGGAUAAUAUAUUGAACCGCAUGGUUCAAUAGUGAAUGACGGUUUUGCUGUCUCUUUUAGCUGGAUCCGCGCCGCAUUAGCUAGUUGGUAAGGUAACGGCUUACCAAGGCGACGAUGCGUAGCCGACCUGAGAGGAUGAUCAGCCACACUGGAACUGAGACACGGUCCAGACUCCUACGGGAGGCAGCAGUAGGGAAUCUUGCGCAAUGGGCGAAAGCCUGACGGAGCAACGCCGCGUGAGUGAUGAAGGUCUUCGGAUCGUAAAACUCUGUUAUUAGGGAAGAAAAAAUGUAUAAGUAACUAUGCACGUCUUGACGGUACCUAAUCAAAAAGCCACGGCUAACUACGUG
Molecule: ribosomal RNA, 497 nt
Filed under: uncultured bacterium
Lineage: Bacteria
Description: partial 16S ribosomal RNA
Rfam family: Bacterial small subunit ribosomal RNA
Source: RNAcentral